AGUGAACGCUGGCGGUAGGCCUAACACAUGCAAGUCGAACGGCAGCACAGUAAGAGCUUGCUCUUACGGGUGGCGAGUGGCGGACGGGUGAGGAAUACAUCGGAAUCUACUUUUUCGUGGGGGAUAACGUAGGGAAACUUACGCUAAUACCGCAUACGACCUACGGGUGAAAGCAGGGGAUCUUCGGACCUUGCGCGAUUGAAUGAGCCGAUGUCGGAUUAGCUAGUUGGCGGGGUAAAGGCCCACCAAGGCGACGAUCCGCAGCUGGUCUCAGAGGAUGAUCAGCCACACUGGAAAUGAGAAAAGGUCCAGACUCCUAAGGGAGGCAGCAGUGGGGAAUAUUGGACAAUGGGCGCAAGCCUGAUCCAGCCAUACCGCGUGGGUGAAGAAGGCCUUCGGGUUGUAAAGCCCUUUUGUUGGGAAAGAAAAGCAGCAGGUUAAUACCCCGCUGUUCUGACGGUACCCAAAGAAUAAGCACCGGCUAACUUCGUG
Molecule: ribosomal RNA, 492 nt
Filed under: uncultured bacterium
Lineage: Bacteria
Description: partial 16S ribosomal RNA
Rfam family: Bacterial small subunit ribosomal RNA
Source: RNAcentral